RNAcentral lists this ribosomal RNA (830 nucleotides) under uncultured Acinetobacter sp. RNAcentral describes it as "bacterial SSU rRNA". It matches the Rfam family "Bacterial small subunit ribosomal RNA", at positions 53 to 878 of the family's 1533-position model. The record is from RNAcentral. Lineage: Bacteria; Pseudomonadati; Pseudomonadota; Gammaproteobacteria; Moraxellales; Moraxellaceae.
ACCAUGCAGUCGAGCGGAGAGAGGUAGCUUGCUACUGAUCUUAGCGGCGGACGGGUGAGUAAUGCUUAGGAAUCUGCCUAUUAGUGGGGGACAACAUUUCGAAAGGAAUGCUAAUACCGCAUACGUCCUACGGGAGAAAGCAGGGGAUCUUCGGACCUUGCGCUAAUAGAUGAGCCUAAGUCGGAUUAGCUAGUUGGUGGGGUAAAGGCCUACCAAGGCGACGAUCUGUAGCGGGUCUGAGAGGAUGAUCCGCCACACUGGGACUGAGACACGGCCCAAACUCCUACGGGAGGCAGCAGUGGGGAAUAUUGGACAAUGGGCGCAAGCCUGAUCCAGCCAUGCCGCGUGUGUGAAGAAGGCCUUAUGGUUGUAAAGCACUUUAAGCGAGGAGGAGGCUACUUUAGUUAAUACCUAGAGAUAGUGGACGUUACUCGCAGAAUAAGCACCGGCUAACUCUGUGCCAGCAGCCGCGGUAAUACAGAGGGUGCAAGCGUUAAUCGGAUUUACUGGGCGUAAAGCGCGCGUAGGCGGCUAAUUAAGUCAAAUGUGAAAUCCCCGAGCUUAACUUGGGAAUUGCAUUCGAUACUGGUUAGCUAGAGUGUGGGAGAGGAUGGUAGAAUUCCAGGUGUAGCGGUGAAAUGCGUAGAGAUCUGGAGGAAUACCGAUGGCGAACGCAGCCAUCUGGCCUAACACUGACGCUGAGGUGCGAAAGCAUGGGGAGCAAACAGGAUUAGAUACCCUGGUAGUCCAUGCCGUAAACGAUGUCUACUAGCCGUUGGGGCCUUUGAGGCUUUAGUGGCGCAGCUACGCGAUAAGUAGACCGCCUGGGG